CCUACGGGGGGCAGCAGUGAGGAAUAUUGGUCAAUGGACGAGAGUCUGAACCAGCCAAGUAGCGUGAAGGAUGACUGCCCUAUGGAUUGUAAACUUCUUUUAUAAAGGAAUAAAACGAGGCACGUGUGCCUUUUUGCAUGUACUUUAUGAAUAAGGAUCGGCUAACUCCGUGCCAGCAGCCGCGGUAAUACGGAGGAUCCGAGCGUUAUCCGGAUUUAUUGGGUUUAAAGGGAGCGUAGAUGGGUUGUUAAGUCAGUUGUGAAAGUUUGCGGCUCAACCGUAAAAUUGCAAUUGAUACUGGCAGUCUUGAGUACAGGUGAGGUAGGCGGAAUUCGUGGUGUAGCGGUGAAAUGCUUAGAUAUCACGAAGAACCCCGAUUGCGAAGGCAGCUUACUAAACUGUGACUGACAUUGAUGCUCGAAAGUGUGGGUAUCGAACAGGAUUAGAUACCCGAGUAGUC
This 460-nucleotide ribosomal RNA is filed under the name uncultured bacterium. RNAcentral's name for it is "partial 16S ribosomal RNA". It matches the Rfam family "Bacterial small subunit ribosomal RNA", at positions 338 to 795 of the family's 1533-position model. The record is from RNAcentral.